Molecule: ribosomal RNA, 497 nt
Filed under: uncultured bacterium
Lineage: Bacteria
Description: partial 16S ribosomal RNA
Rfam family: Bacterial small subunit ribosomal RNA
Source: RNAcentral
GAUGAACGCUGGCGGCGUGCCUAAUACAUGCAAGUCGAGCGAACGGACGAGAAGCUUGCUUCUCUGAUGUUAGCGGCGGACGGGUGAGUAACACGUGGAUAACCUACCUAUAAGACUGGGAUAACUUCGGGAAACCGUAGCUAAUACCGGAUAAUAUUUUGAACCGCAUGGUUCAAAAGUGAAAGACGGUCUUGCUGUCACUUAUAGAUGGAUCCGCGCUGCAUUAGCUAGUUGGUAAGGUAACGGCUUACCAAGGCAACGAUGCAUAGCCGACCUGAGAGAGUGAUCGGCCACACUGGAACUGAGACACGGUCCAGACUCCUAAGGGAGGCAGCAGUAGGGAAUCUUCCGCAAUGGGCGAAAGCCUGACGGAGCAACGCCGCGUGAGUGAUGAAGGUCUUCGGAUCGUAAAACUCUGUUAUUAGGGAAGAACAUAUGUGUAAGUAACUGUGCACAUCUUGGCGGUACCUAAUCAGAAAGCCACGGCUAACUACGUG